Molecule: ribosomal RNA, 824 nt
Filed under: Myxobolus zaikae
Lineage: Eukaryota; Metazoa; Cnidaria; Myxozoa; Bivalvulida; Myxobolidae
Description: SSU rRNA
Rfam family: Eukaryotic small subunit ribosomal RNA
Source: RNAcentral
CGGUACAUUGGUGUUCUUUCGGGUUCACCAAAGCAUUUAUUAGACUAAACCAACUACUAUGUUUACUCAUAGUAAGGGGAAUCUGGAUAACUUUGCUGAUCGUAUGGCCUUGCGCCGGCGACGUUUCAAUUGAGUUUCUGCCCUAUCAACUUGUUGGUAAGGUAUUGGCUUACCAAGGUUGCAACGGGUAACGGGGAAUCAGGGUUCGAUUCCGGAGAGGGAGCCUGAGAAACGGCUACCACAUCCAAGGAAGGCAACAGGCGCGCAAAUUACCCAAUCUAGACAGUAGGAGGUGGUGAAGAGAAUUACUAAAUGGUGGUCCAAUGGAUCACUUGUUUGGAAUGAACGUAACUUAAGAAAUUCGUUGAUAAACAACUGGAGGGCAAGUCCUGGUGCCAGCAGCCGCGGUAAUUCCAGCUCCAGUAGUUUGCUUUAAAGUUGUUGCGUUUAAAACGCUCGUAGUUGGAUCACGCAGCAGUGUUCAGUUAUCUUUUUGCUGUUUGCCUUCUUGUGUGUCCGUCUCGUACGGUACACUUGUUGGUAAUGGUAUUAGAUGCUAUGCUGAACGCUGUUAGUUGCACGUGAGAUAGAUUGUUGGCCUUUAAUGAGCCGAUAUUCUCGUCUUGCGGGGUGUGCCUUGAAUAAAACAGAGUGCUUAAAGCAGGUUAUUGCCUGAAUGUUAUAGCAUGGAACGAACAAUCGUGUAUAUGUGCGUGUUAUCGAAAGGCUUCUAGCCUUUGGUUUAAAGUUUUUUCGUGAUACGCACGGCACCCACCUAAAUAUGGCUGUUGGUUUCCAUAUACGGUGAUGAUUAACAGGAGCGG